UGUGCUUGCGGAGACAGAUCAAGAAGGCAAGCAAUCCAACUCAAUUAGAAUUAUACCUUAAAACAAACACAUGUUGUGUGUGAAGCUGAGUGGAGAACAAUUAAAAUCCUGACUGUUCCUGUUCUUGGAAUGUGUGCCGUUCACCUGUCUUCAGUCCGAGAACAAGGUAAUAGGGAAGAAAGCAAAUGAGCCACAGGGUUACAGGCCUAACAGAGCAAGGAUAGUGGGUCAGUGAAGACCAAACCCAAAGAAACGGUCAUCUUGCACAACCUGUUCACACCUGUCUCUCAGUAGACAGACCCAGGUCAGAAUGGGACAGAAGACUGAGCUACCUUGUCACCCACAGUGGCAGGAUCACGUGAAGAAGCUUCUCCUUCCUCUGCCUGUGCACUGUCUUCUGGAGCACAAUGUCUCUAAAAUAAAACCAGGUGCUUACACAAAGCUUAGCCUGUUCUCAUUGGAUUUGCAUAAUCAAGGGAUUGCAGUUUCCUGUAAGAUAUCCAGCACUCCUGAUCUCAGAUGGGAAAUAAUCCAUCUCUCUCUCAGCUGAACAUUUCAGAGCCUCAAAUCAGGUUUGGUUUAAGUAGAGGUGAAAACUGGAGUUGGAUGGUUUCUUAUUUUAUCCUUGUGACGUUAUGAGUGUGAUAUAAUAUCUCAUUGAAAGAUGACAGGGCCAGAAAGAGUUAAUUAAUUCACCGACUGACCCGACCCAUGGGUGAACUUUAGAGACUGGCUAGGAAGUUAAGUAAAUGAAUAGAGCUUUGAAAUGUAAGUCUGCAUUGUUAGAGA
This is a long non-coding RNA of Chrysemys picta bellii (western painted turtle), 789 nucleotides long. RefSeq lists it as uncharacterized. The record is from RefSeq and is a predicted model, not a curated record. NCBI's taxonomy places the organism in Eukaryota, Metazoa, Chordata, Testudines, Emydidae.